AAUGGGCGAAAGCCUGACCCAGCCAUGCCGCGUGCAGGAUGACGCCCUAUGGGUUGUAAACUGCUUUUAUAUAGGAAGAAAAUACUCUUGCGAGAGAAACUGACGGUACUAUAUGAAUAAGGACCGGCUAACUCCGUGCCAGCAGCCGCGGUAAUACGGAGGGUUCAAGCGUUUUCCGGAUUUAUUGGGUUUAAAGAGUGCGUAGGUGGUUUAUUAAGUCAGUGGUGAAAUCCUGCAGCUCAACUGUAGAACUGCCAUUGAUACUGGUAAACUUGAGUUUGGUUUAGGUAAGCGGAAUUUAUGAUGUAGCGGUGAAAUGCAUAGAUAUCAUAAGGAACACCAAUAGCGAAGGCAGCUUACUGGACCAUAACUGACACUGAGGCACGAAAGCGUGGGUAGCGAACAGGAUU
This 410-nucleotide ribosomal RNA is filed under the name uncultured Gammaproteobacteria bacterium. RNAcentral describes it as "bacterial SSU rRNA". It matches the Rfam family "Bacterial small subunit ribosomal RNA", at positions 370 to 779 of the family's 1533-position model. The record is from RNAcentral. Lineage: Bacteria; Pseudomonadati; Pseudomonadota; Gammaproteobacteria.